CCUACGGGAGGCAGCAGUGAGGAAUAUUGGUCAAUGGACGAGAGUCUGAACCAGCCAAGUAGCGUGAAGGAUGACUGCCCUAUGGGUUGUAAACUUCUUUUAUAUGGGAAUAAAAUGUUCCACGUGUGGGAUUUUGUAUGUACCAUAUGAAUAAGGAUCGGCUAACUCCGUGCCAGCAGCCGCGGUAAUACGGAGGAUCCGAGCGUUAUCCGGAUUUAUUGGGUUUAAAGGGAGCGUAGGUGGAUUGUUAAGUCAGUUGUGAAAGUUUGCGGCUCAACCGUAAAAUUGCAGUUGAAACUGGCAGUCUUGAGUACAAUAGAGGUGGGCGGAAUUCGUGGUGUAGCGGUGAAAUGCUUAGAUAUCACGAAGAACUCCGAUUGCGAAGGCAGUUCACUGGACUGCAACUGACACUGAGGCUCGAAAGUGUGGGUAUCAAACAGGAUUAGAUACCCCAGUAGUC
This 460-nucleotide ribosomal RNA is filed under the name uncultured bacterium. RNAcentral's name for it is "partial 16S ribosomal RNA". It matches the Rfam family "Bacterial small subunit ribosomal RNA", at positions 338 to 795 of the family's 1533-position model. The record is from RNAcentral.